CUACGGGAGGCAGCAGUAGGGAAUCUUCCGCAAUGGGCGAAAGCCUGACGGAGCAACGCCGCGUGAGUGAUGAAGGUCUUCGGAUCGUAAAACUCUGUUAUUAGGGAAGAACAUAUGUGUAAGUAACUGUGCACAUCUUGACGGUACCUAAUCAGAAAGCCACGGCUAACUACGUGCCAGCAGCCGCGGUAAUACGUAGGUGGCAAGCGUUAUCCGGAAUUAUUGGGCGUAAAGCGCGCGUAGGCGGUUUUUUAAGUCUGAUGUGAAAGCCCACGGCUCAACCGUGGAGGGUCAUUGGAAACUGGAAAACAUGAGUGCAGAAGAGGAAAGUGGAAUUCCAUGUGUAGCGGUGAAAUGCGCAGAGAUAUGGAGGAACACCAGUGGCGAAGGCGACUUUCUGGUCUGUAACUGACGCUGAUGUGCGAAAGCGUGGGGAUCAAACAGGAUUAGAUACCCUGGUAGUCCACGCCGUAAACGAUGAGUGCUAAGUGUUAGGGGGUUUCCGCCCCUUAGUGCUGCAGCUAACGCAUUAAGCACUCCGCCUGGGGA
RNAcentral lists this ribosomal RNA (549 nucleotides) under uncultured Staphylococcus sp. RNAcentral's name for it is "bacterial SSU rRNA". It matches the Rfam family "Bacterial small subunit ribosomal RNA", at positions 339 to 879 of the family's 1533-position model. Lineage: Bacteria; Bacillati; Bacillota; Bacilli; Caryophanales; Staphylococcaceae. The record is from RNAcentral.